UGUAACACUUUCGGUUACAUAAAACUUUAGCUAAUAAUACACACAGCACAAACAAGCAAUUAUGUCGUAAUAUCUUCACUGUGCCGUACCUGCGAGCUUAUAAAUACAAAGUGGAAGGGAUAACCUAAUUGAAAAGAUAAUUGAGAGUGUACCAUAAAUAUUGGAUAAUUACUGUUAGUGCAAACUUGCAUCUUUGCAACCAAUCACUGGCAUGAAAUAAAGGCAUUGAAAUGCAAAGCAUCGUAUGCAAUGUUUACUUUUACCACAGUGGUUUCACUUUUGUUACUACAUAGAACUAGCCACUUUUGGGGACAUUUAGAGAACUAACUGUUUGUGGUUGACAUGCACAUUUUGUGUUGCAGUUUCAUAUAGCCUUCUGGCUAAGAAAGGUUUUGUGUUGCAGUUUCAUAUAGCCUUGUGGCUAAGAAAGGUUUUGUGUUGCAGUUUCAUAUAGCCUUGUGGCUAAAAAAGGUUUUGUGUUGCAGUUUCAUAUAGCCUUGUGGCUAAGAAAGGUUUUGUGUUGCAGUUUCAUAUAGCCUUGUGGCUAAGAAAGGUUUUGUGUUGCAGUUUCAUAUAGCCUUGUGGCUAAGAAAGGUUUUGUGUUGCAGUUUCAUAUAGCCUUGUGGCUAAGAAAGGUUUUGUGUUGCAGUUUCAUAUAGCCUUGUGAAUAAGAAAGGGUUUGUGUUGCUGUUUCAUAUAGCCUUGUGGCUAAGAAAGGUUUUGUGUUGCAGUUUCAUAUAGCCUUGUGAAUAAGAAAGGGUUUGUGUUGCUGUUUCAUAUAGCCUUGUGGCUAAGAAAGGUUUUGUGUUGCAGUUUCAUAUAGCCUUGUGGAUAAGAAAGGGUUUGUGUUGCUGUUUCAUAUAGCCUUGUUGCUAAGAACGGUUUUGUGUUGCAGU
Long non-coding RNA from Oncorhynchus keta (chum salmon), 896 nucleotides. RefSeq lists it as uncharacterized. Lineage: Eukaryota; Metazoa; Chordata; Actinopteri; Salmoniformes; Salmonidae. The record is from RefSeq and is a predicted model, not a curated record. The transcript has 3 exons.